CACGUAGGGUGCAAGCGUUGUCCGGAAUUAUUGAGCGUAAAGGGCUCGUAGGCGGUCCGUCGCGUCGGGUGUGAAAACUCGGGGCUCAACCCCGAGCCUGCUUUCGAUACGGGCGGACUAGAGGUAGGUAGGGGAGAACGGAAUUCCUGGUGUAGCGGUGAAAUGCGCAGAUAUCAGGAGGAACACCGAUGGCGAAGGCAGGUCUCUGGGACGUGACUGACGCUGAGGCGCGAAAGCCAGGGGAGCAAACGGG
This 253-nucleotide ribosomal RNA is filed under the name uncultured bacterium. Its description in RNAcentral is "partial 16S ribosomal RNA". It matches the Rfam family "Bacterial small subunit ribosomal RNA", at positions 524 to 776 of the family's 1533-position model. The record is from RNAcentral.